RNAcentral lists this ribosomal RNA (856 nucleotides) under uncultured bacterium. RNAcentral's name for it is "SSU rRNA". It matches the Rfam family "Bacterial small subunit ribosomal RNA", at positions 524 to 1381 of the family's 1533-position model. The record is from RNAcentral.
UACGGAGGGGGUUAGCGUUGUUCGGAAUUACUGGGCGUAAAGCGCGCGUAGGCGGACUGGAAAGUUAGUGGUGAAAUCCCAGAGCUUAACUCUGGAACUGCCAUUAAAACUUUUCAGCUAGAGUAUGAUAGAGGAAAGCAGAAUUUCUAGUGUAGAGGUGAAAUUCGUAGAUAUUAGAAAGAAUACCAAUUGCGAAGGCAGCUUUCUGGAUCAUUACUGACACUGAGGAACGAAAGCAUGGGUAGCGAAGAGGAUUAGAUACCCUCGUAGUCCAUGCCGUAAACGAUGUGUGUUAGACGUUGGAAAUUUAUUUUCAGUGUCGCAGCGAAAGCGAUAAACACACCGCCUGGGGAGUACGACCGCAAGGUUAAAACUCAAAUGAAUUGACGGGGACCCGCACAAGUAGUGGAGCAUGUGGUUUAAUUCGAAGAUACGCGCAGAACCUUACCAACACUUGACAUGUUCGUCGCGACUCUAAGAGAUUAGAGUUUUCGGUUCGGCCGGACGAAACACAGGUGCUGCAUGGCUGUCGUCAGCUCGUGUCGUGAGAUGUUGGGUUAAGUCCCGCAACGAGCGCAACCCUCACUUUUAGUUGCCAUCAUUAAGUUGGGCACUCUGAAAGAACUGCCAGUGAUAAGCUGGAGGAAGGUGGGGAUGACGUCAAGUCCUCAUGGCCCUUACGUGUUGGGCUACACACGUGCUACAAUGGUAUCUACAACAGGAAGCAAGACUGCGAGGUCAAGCAAAUCCUUAAAAGAUACCUCAGUUCGGAUUGCACUCUGCAACUCGAGUGCAUGAAGCUGGAAUUACUAGUAAUCGUGGAUCAGCGUGCCACGGUGAAUGCGUUCCCGGGUCU